Long non-coding RNA from Oryzias javanicus (javanese ricefish), 1940 nucleotides. The record is from Ensembl. Lineage: Eukaryota; Metazoa; Chordata; Actinopteri; Beloniformes; Adrianichthyidae.
UCUCAAUCUUUCAAGUCUUUAUUUGUUGCAGUAGUUUUGUUGAUCAUGGUUUACAGAAAACAAAAACCCAGAAUCAGAAAACUGAAAAAGUGUAACUGGACUUUUCUUGUGUUUUCCAGUACAUGUUUAAAUCUUCAACAUUCUUUUUAAAUCUUUCCAAUGACAGUCAAAUGCAUGUCUCAAUUAACCCAGAAACAAGUCUGUCAAUGAUAAGAAAAUAAAAGCACACAGAAAAAUAAAUCCCUAAAAAUGUAAUCACUAAACCAAACAACAAAAAUCCUUUCAACAUGUUCGACUGAUCAGUUGCAAUUACAAUUGCUUGCUCUGAAUUAAAGAACAUUUUUCUAUUUUUACAGUUUAAAGAAAAAUUUUGCCUUUAAUGUUUUUUUUUAAUUGAAGACUUAAUUUAAAAAGCUUUAGGAUUACAAAAAAUAUAUUUUUACAUUAUUUUCUAUAAAAAACAUUUUACUUCAUCUUCAUGAUAUAUAUUCUGUAAAAUGUAGUUAUUAUUUUUGCAAUUUUUGUCACUUUUUUGUCAAGUCUGAAAGUUUUUCUUUGAUGAACUGAUGAGAAAAAUGAUCAGAUCCUAAAUGUUUCACAAAUAUUAACUACCUGCUGUGCACAAUCUUUUUUGAAACAUUUACUAUUUUUACAGCAUUAAUAAAAUAGUGCAAUAACAACAAAAUUCACAGAAAUUCAAACGUCAGUGCUGUUGAACGUAACUCAACCCCACACAAACCCACAGAAAAGCACACUGAUAAAUGCAAGCAAAAACGUUCAGGUCCCACAUUUAUACCUUAAAAUACAACAACAUUAAAAAAUUAAAAUAUUUAAUCCAAAUAAGCCAAGAUUGAAUGCAUUUUAACUCAUUUAAUAAUUAAUUUUUACCUUUUGUAGAAAGUUUGUCAAAGCCAGAAAACAUUCCAUUGAUAAAAUCCACAUAGAAUAAUUUUUAAACUUUACAAAAAUUUACCUGGUAAAAAAUGUUUCAUCAAGUAAAAAAAAAUUGUAUAUAUCUGGCUCCAGCUCUGGCCUCUGUGACCCUUCCUCUCUCAUAGCUCCUCGUGAUGCUCUCGGCCGCCAUGUUUGUUCAGCCACGCCUGCAGCAGAGGGAGGUUCUUGUCCAUCCAGCGGAUGUUGUCUUCUAUGGUCUCGUAGCUCUGCUGGAUGCACCUCAUCUUUGAACCCGCCUCUUCUGUCAGGGAGUCGAAGAAGCUUUGGAUCUAAAGGCGAGAGCAAAAUGAUAAACAGGAACACACUCGUACACAGAAACUACAGAAUUUGCUCAAAAUGACCUUUUCAUGGUGGGGGCAAAAGUGGGCUGAAAUGAUCUCUCACCUCAAGAAGCUUCUCUCUGGUGGAGUACUGGUUGGUAACUCCCGCUACCAAGUAGGACAGAGUGCUCGACCCCAGGUCAAACCUGUAUUUUGAACACAGAAUGUUACUGAUCUGAGCACCAAACUUCACCUUUUUGAAGAAAACAGCAGCAAUGAAGAGUUUGUUGAGUUUAGCCCAUCCAUCAAUUAUCCUGUUCCAUUCUGGCUAGGACUAAUUGCUGGAGCCAUUCUAGCUAAGGCUAAAAUAAAUAAUUUAAAGGCAAUAAUCUGACACAUUUGGAGAUGUAUACAUAAAGAGAAGAUGCAAACUCCAGACAGAAAAGAUACAGAAUUUUUAUUCAUUCUAAUCAUUAAAACCAUUUUGAUACUGUGGUUUCAUUUGUGAACUGCAUGCUCCAUUUUCUGAGGAGGGGAAAUGUAUCAAACUCAUUAAUUUUAAUUAAAAAAGUGCAUAAAUGAGCAAACUUAUUUAUUUUCUUUGCUCCAAAGAAACAAAGACACGUCUGUCUUUGUUUUUUUAUAAAUUCUUUCGGAACUUGCUGAUUAGAAGAUAUAAAAAUACAGUUCCAAAAUAUGAAUUUAUUCACACACGACUGAAUGAAA